This 232-nucleotide ribosomal RNA is filed under the name uncultured bacterium. RNAcentral's name for it is "partial 16S ribosomal RNA". It matches the Rfam family "Bacterial small subunit ribosomal RNA", at positions 118 to 347 of the family's 1533-position model. The record is from RNAcentral.
UGAGCAACCUGCCCUUGACUCCGGAAUAACAGCUGGAAACAGCUGCUAAUACCGGAUACGACCUCCGAUGGCAUCAUCUGGAGGUGGAAAGCUCCGGCGGUCAAGGAUGGGCUCGCGGCCUAUCAGCUAGUUGGUGUGGGUAACGGCCCACCAAGGCGACGACGGGUAGCCGGCCUGAGAGGGUGACCGGCCACACUGGGACUGAGACACGGCCCAGACCCCUACGGGAGCA